CAGAAAAUAGUUUAAUUUUAGAAUUUUGGCUUUGGGAGUCAAGGGUGGAAGUUAAAAUCUUCUUUUUUUG
This 70-nucleotide transfer RNA is filed under the name Bathylychnops exilis (javelin spookfish). RNAcentral describes it as "tRNA-Pro". It matches the Rfam family "tRNA". From Rfam's summary of the family: Transfer RNA (tRNA) molecules are approximately 80 nucleotides in length. Their secondary structure includes four short double-helical elements and three loops (D, anti-codon, and T loops). Lineage: Eukaryota; Metazoa; Chordata; Actinopteri; Argentiniformes; Opisthoproctidae. The record is from RNAcentral.